Molecule: ribosomal RNA, 465 nt
Filed under: Stutzerimonas stutzeri
Lineage: Bacteria; Pseudomonadati; Pseudomonadota; Gammaproteobacteria; Pseudomonadales; Pseudomonadaceae
Description: bacterial SSU rRNA
Rfam family: Bacterial small subunit ribosomal RNA
Source: RNAcentral
UUGGGGAGCUGGCCUACACAUGCAAGUCGAGCGGAUGAGUGGAGCUUGCUCCAUGAUUCAGCGGCGGACGGGUGAGUAAUGCCUAGGAAUCUGCCUGGUAGUGGGGGACAACGUUUCGAAAGGAACGCUAAUACCGCAUACGUCCUACGGGAGAAAGUGGGGGAUCUUCGGACCUCACGCUAUCAGAUGAGCCUAGGUCGGAUUAGCUAGUUGGUGAGGUAAAGGCUCACCAAGGCGACGAUCCGUAACUGGUCUGAGAGGAUGAUCAGUCACACUGGAACUGAGACACGGUCCAGACUCCUACGGGAGGCAGCAGUGGGGAAUAUUGGACAAUGGGCGAAAGCCUGAUCCAGCCAUGCCGCGUGUGUGAAGAAGGUCUUCGGAUUGUAAAGCACUUUAAGUUGGGAGGAAGGGCAGUAAGUUAAUACCUUGCUGUUUUGACGUUACCAACAGAAUAAGCACCGG